This 253-nucleotide ribosomal RNA is filed under the name uncultured bacterium. RNAcentral describes it as "partial 16S ribosomal RNA". It matches the Rfam family "Bacterial small subunit ribosomal RNA", at positions 524 to 776 of the family's 1533-position model. The record is from RNAcentral.
UACGUAGGGUGCGAGCGUUGUCCGGAAUUACUGGGCGUAAAGAGCUCGUAGGUGGCGUGUCGCGUCUGCCGUGAAAGCCCAUGGCUUAACUGUGGGUCUGCGGUGGAUACGGGCAGGCUGGAGGCUGGUAGGGGAGAUCGGAAUUCCUGGUGUAGCGGUGAAAUGCGCAGAUAUCAGGAGGAACACCGGUGGCGAAGGCGGAUCUCUGGGCCUUACCUGACGCUGAGGCGCGAAAGCUAGGGGAGCGAACAGG